UACGGAGGGGGCUAGCGUUGUUCGGAAUUACUGGGCGUAAAGCGCACGUAGGCGGACCAGAAAGUCAGAGGUGAAAUCCCAGGGCUCAACCUUGGAACUGCCUUUGAAACUCCUGGUCUUGAGGUCGAGAGAGGUGAGUGGAAUUCCGAGUGUAGAGGUGAAAUUCGUAGAUAUGACAUAGAACACCAGUGGCGAAGGCGGCUCACUGGCACGAUACUGACGCUGAGGCGCGAAAGCGUGGGGAUCAAACAGG
RNAcentral lists this ribosomal RNA (253 nucleotides) under uncultured bacterium. RNAcentral's name for it is "partial 16S ribosomal RNA". It matches the Rfam family "Bacterial small subunit ribosomal RNA", at positions 524 to 776 of the family's 1533-position model. The record is from RNAcentral.